CCCACAGAGUUAGAGUUACAGAGACUGCUCAGCAGUUGACAGAGGUGAGUGGAACAGAACUAUGUUUUAAAGUUAAUGAAUGUUUUAGCAUGAUUUCAUGCAUCACUAAUGCCAUGCUAUGUAGGAUGUUUGCAUUGCAUUAGUAUUCACUAAGUUGAUGCAUUGCAUUAUUUGAUGUUGAUGUGGAUUGGACCGAGGCGACCCCAAUAGCCCUAUGGAAAGACCUGGCUGGGCCAGGCAUAGUGAAAGACCUGUGUGAGCUCCUUGAGGGGGGCCGGGCAUUAUACUUGGGUGAGUCCUGUGAAAGCCCUUUCAGGGUCGGGCACCAUGAGCUUAGGGAGUUUUGGUGGUCAUGUCCAAUCCUUGAUGUGAAAUGUUUGUGCUGUGAUGCAUUUCAUGAUAGCAUGUUUUAAAUGUUUUGAUGGUUUCUGCUCACUGGGCUCUAGUAGCUCAUCCCUCUCCCUAACCCCAUGUUUCAGGGCCUCAGAGAAGAGAAAGAGAAAGAGAAAGCAAGGGUAAAAGCAUAUGUAAUAGCAUAGAGUAGUGGACAUGAUGUACAGUACAGAGUUUAUGUAAUGUAUAGUAAUGAUGUAAUAAGUUAUGUUAUGUACUGAGUUAUAGAAUUGUGCUUGGCCCUAGUGUAUGUUUCUCCCUUUGUACAUGAUCAUUUCUUUUAUGUCAUGUUUUAUGAUGUUAUGAUGAUGAGAGCUAGGUUCGGUGCAUGGUAGUAUAACCCAUCUAGAGCAUAUGAUGAGGACUCUAGUGAGGGGUUUCUAUCUCUGUAGUUACUCUAUGGUACCACAGCAGGUAUCACUCUUUGAGUGCAUACAGACAGAGCAUGCAUAGUCCAAACUUAGUGUAUGAGAAAGAAAAGAAAGUAAAGACACAAAAGAAAAAGAAAAGAAAGAAAAAAAAAAAGUUUACAGUUUUAUGCUUAAGUAUGAUCAUGUAUGGGAUUUAGCAGGUACACAGAGUUCAGUCUAGGCUGACUACGGGUCUAGGCGGCCUUAAGCUGAUCUGGAUCCUAGUGCCAGUGGCGGUCCGGUAAGCGGGCUGUUACAGAUUGGUAUCAGAGCAUAGGGCCUCUAGAGUACGGUGUGCUGAGCUAAGAUGCUCAGGGAUUAGAGAUAUCUCACAUCGGAAAGAGGUUGUCCUAGAGGGCAAGCACAAUAGGAAGAUCAUGUCCACUAGGAUAGGAUGUUGAGUCCUGUCUAUAUGAUGAUGUGUAAUGCCAUGAUUUUAUGCAUGUGCAUUUAAUGAUAUGUUAUGAUAUGCUAUGCUAUGCUAUGAGUUGAGGGUUCAUGUUUUUACAUGGAUCAUAUGCUGAUGUUUAUGUAUAUGUUAUGUUUUCAGAAGUUAAGAUGAGAGGAUCCCGUCGAUCAGCUAGAUUGACUGGAGCUCCGCCCGAGAAUGAGGGUAUGGAGGGUCGUCCCCCUGCUUUGCCAAGAACUAUGUCCCAAAGAGCAGGCAGAGAAAGAUCAUCAAGGGACCCUAGAAGGUCUUUUGAUGAAGGCAGGAGGGAGACAGAACAGAGAAGAAGAUCUAGUGAUACAAGGGAAGAGAUGGAUGUGGAUCCAAGAAGGGAUGGAGGGUUAGGUUUUGGCACUACAGAGGAGGAUGUGGGAUCAUCACAAGGAGGCGGUCAGGCCUCGGGGUAUGGUUAUACACCCCACUAUCAGCCCUACCCACAGGGCCCAGGAUAUUCAAUGGGAGGUACAUCGGAGUAUCCUAGUUUUCACCCAUAUCCCACAUAUAUGCCUUAUCCACCUUUUUACCCCCCAUAUCCACCAUAUCCCAUGUAUCCACCCUCACCUUUUUACCCCAGUCCAGCACACCCUACAUCAGGGAGUUCUGCACCCCCUCCACCACCACCAGUGGUAGAACCAGUAGCCCCAGUUACAUCUCAACCUGGCCCAUCUGAGAGGAGCAGGGUAAAGAUGACUGAUUACCUAAAGCUAGAUGCUCCUAAGUACCAAACUGGAGAUGAUCCAUUUGAGUACAUCAAAGCAGUUAAGAUGAUAGCAGAUGAGCUAGGGGCAGAUGAUACCAGAGCCAUUCAGAUGGCAGGGUUCACUUUAAAAUGCAAGAAAGCUAAAGAGUGGUUUAGCGAGUAUGUGGACCCUAGACUGGAUAGUAUGUCUUGGGAGGAGUUUGCUAACGAGUUUGCUGGAUGGGCGUUCCCAGAUAGCUCAAGAGAGCUAAAGAUGAUAGAGUUUGAGCAGCUCAAGCAGACAGAUGAGAUGAGUAUAAAUGAGUUUACUGACAGGUUUUUGGAGUUGCUGCGGCAUGCAGGACAGGCCUAUGAUACUGAUCGGAAAAAGGCUAGGAGGUAUGCUAUGAAACUGCAUUCCAGAUAUUCCUCCUUGAUCCAUGCAGCCGAGAGGGAGAGUUUCCACACCGUGGUGGAUUUAGCACGGAGAAUGGAGGCAAGUGCCAUUGUACAGGGUAUAGUGAAACAGCAGGCGGCACAGGCCUCAGGUUCUAAGACCCCAGGCAGGGGUAAGUCAGAUCCCUCUUCACAGGGUGCAGCAGCUUCCAGUGGUAAGAAGUGGAGUGGUUCCACUCAGAAGCAGAAGAAGAGUAAGUUCUGGAAUAAGAUUAAAUCAGGUCUGGGAUUGGGCAGUGGCAUGAGUUCAGGCUCAGAGUUGCCAGUAUGUACGAGGUGCGGUAAGUCGCACAGGGGAGUUUGUCGGGCUAGGAUGACAGGAUGUUAUAGGUGUGGCCAGGAGGGACACAUGGCUCGUGAGUGCCCUCAGGCAUCUUUCACGGCACCAUCCCAUCAGACAGCCCCAGCUAGCAUGCCACAGCCAUCAGCUCCCGUUAUGACACAGGGCAGAGGAAGAGGGAGAGGGUCAGCCUCUUCAUCUGCAGGUCCCAGAGGUGGAGGUCCGUCAGCCCCGGCGCGGAUUUUCACGAUGACACAGUAGGAGGCAAACACUUCUAACACCGUGCUGUCAGGUAAUCUCCUCAUUGGGUGUACUGAGGUGUAUGCUUUGUUAGACCCUGGUGCUUCUCAUUCCUUUGUUGCUCCCAGAGCUAUAGAGAGAGUGGGUUUGAUGACGUCUGGGUUAGAGUGUCCCCUAUGGGUCAGUGGACCCAAGUGUGAUCCAUCAUUGGCAGAGACAAUCUGUCGACAUAGUCCAGUGUUUAUAGAUGGCAGAUGCCUUCCAGCUGACCUUGUGGUUCUAGAGUUGACAGAUUUUGACGUCAUUCUAGGGAUGGAUUGGCUAUCUGCAUAUGGUGCUACCUUGGACUGCAGAGACAAGGUAGUCAAAUUCAGAGAUGAGGAUGGAUCUGAGUUUGUCUUUAGAGGAGACAGAAGGGGCAUGCCUAGAGGUCUGAUAUCAGCCCUACAAGCUCGUAGGUUGCUCAGGAGGGGAUGUCAGGGGUAUCUGGCUCAUGUGAGAGAGCUAGACAGUCAGGUUAGGGACCCCAGCUCAGUGCCCGUAGUCAGAGAAUUCCCAGAUGUGUUUCCAGAUGAGCUUCCAAGACUACCACCUGAUAGGGAAAUAGAGUUCGAGAUAGAGUUAGUGCCUGGUACCAGACCGAUCUCUAUUCCUCCCUACAGGAUGGCACCAGCAGAGCUUAAGGAGUUGAAAGAACAGCUACAGGAGUUGGUAGAUAAGGGUUUCAUCCGACCGAGUACCUUACCCUGGGGUGCUCCUGUGCUGUUUGUGAAAAAGAAGGAUGGAUCCCUUAGACUUUGUAUCGACUACAGGCAGUUGAACAAAGUCACUACCAAGAAUAAGUAUCCUCUACCCAGGAUCGAUGAUCUAUUCGACCAGCUAGCAGGAGCAGGUUGUUUUUCGAAGAUAGAUCUGAGAUCGGGUUAUCACCAGCUGAGAAUCAGGGAAGAGGAUGUGCCUAAGACAGCUUUCAGGACCAGAUAUGGGCAUUAUGAGUUCCUAGUGAUGCCGUUCGGGUUGACUAACGCCCCUGCAGCAUUCAUGGAUCUCAUGAAUAGAGUUUUCAGAGAGUACCUGGAUCACUUUGUUAUUGUCUUCAUAGAUGAUAUCUUAGUGUAUUCCAGGAAUGCAGAGGAGCAUGCCCAACAUCUGAGGAUAGUCCUGCAGACACUGAGAGAGCACGGCUUAUAUGCUAAGUUCUCCAAGUGUGAGUUCUGGCUAAGGAGCAUUUCAUUCUUGGGCACGUGGUGUCAGACCAAGGAAUAGCAGUAGACCCCAAGAAGAUAGAAGCUGUAGCCAACUGGCCUACACCCACCACAGUGACAGAGGUCAAGAGUUUCUUGGGUUUGGCAGGCUACUACAGGAGGUUCGUUUAGGACUUCUCCAAGAUAGCGGCUCCUAUGACCAGAUUAACUAGAAAGAAUCAGAGAUUCACAUGGUCUGACCAAUGUGAAGAGAGCUUUGAAGAGUUAAAGAGAAGAUUAACUUCAGCACCGGUGUUGGCUCUGCCUACUAGUGAUGAGGAUUUCACAGUGUUCUGUGAUGCAUCCCGAGUGGGACUAGGUUGUGUGUUAAUGCAGAAUGACAGAGUAAUAGCUUAUGCUUCUAGACAGCUGAAGAAGCACGAGCUGAACUACCCGACACACGAUCUAGAGAUGGCAGCUGUUAUCUUUGCACUCAAGAUGUGGAGGCAUUACCUCUAUGGGGUGAAAUGUGAGAUCUUUACGGAUCAUAAGAGCCUACAACACAUCCUGAGUCAGAGAGAGUUAAACUUGAGGCAGAGACGGUGGGUAGAACUGCUCAGUGACUACGAUUGCAAGAUCCAGUAUCAUCUGGGAAAGGCAAAUGUAGUAGCCGAUGCCUUGAGCCGGAAAUCACUAGGCAGUUUAUCCCACAUUAUAGCAGAGAGAAGGCCGGUGGUGAAGGACUUCUACAGGUUAGUUGAGGAAGGGCUACAGUUAGAAUUAUCUGGUACAGGUGCUUUGAUUGCACAGAUGAGAGUCACACCCGUGUUUCUGGAGCAGGUGGCUCAGAAACAGCACGAGGACCCGGAGUUGGUCAAGAUUGCCAGGACUGUUCAGUCUGGUAAGAGCGAAGAGUUCAGAUUCGACGACCAAGGGAUUCUCCGCUACGGGAACAGACUAUGUGUACCAGAUGAUAUCAGUUUGAAGGGAGAUAUUAUGAGGGAAGCUCAUAAUGCUCAAUAUAGCAUUCACCCUGGAGCCACCAAGAUGUACCAAGAUCUAAAACGAGUGUAUUGGUGGCCAGCCAUGAAGAGAGACGUGGCACAGUUCGUGUCAGCCUGCGAGAUAUGUCAAAGGGUGAAGCUAGAACACCAGAAGCCGGCUGGAAUGCUUAACCCACUACCGAUUCCAGAGUGGAAAUGGGAGAACAUAGCCAUGGAUUUUGUAGUGGGAUUACCGGCGACGUCCAACAGACUAGACUCCAUCUGGGUGAUUGUGGAUAGACUGACGAAAUCUGCUCACUUCAUUCCUGUCAGGAGUGGCUAUUCUGUGGACAAAUUAGCGCAGGUAUAUGUUGAGGAAGUUGUGAGGUUGCAUGGGGCUCCUAUUUCAAUAGUGUCUGACAGAGGACCCCAGUUCACCUCUAGGUUUUGGCGGAGUCUGCAAGAGGCUAUGGGCACAAGGUUAGACUUCAACACUGCUUUCCGUCCACAGACUGACGGAUAGUCAGAGAGGACCAUCCAGACCAUUGAAGAUAUGCUUAGAAUGCGUGUGCUAGAUUUUGGCGGUUCUUGGAGGCAGCAUCUACCGUUAGUGGAGUUUGCCUACAAUAACAGUCAUCAUGCUAGCAUAGGGAUGGCUCCAUAUGAAGCUCUAUAUGGGAGGAAGUGCAGGUCACCAGUUUGUUGGGAAGAGGUUGGAGAAAGGUCCCUAGCAGGGCCUGAGUUGGUUGAGAUCACCAACAGAGUGGUGCCCAUCAUCAGAGAAAGACUCAAGACUACUGUUAGUCGGCAGAAAAGCUAUGCAGACAUCCGUAGGAAGCACAUAGAGUUUGAGGAGGGGGAUCUGGUCUUGCUGAAGGUGUCUCCAAUGAAAGGGGUGGUUCGUUUUGGGAGGAAAGGUAAACUGGCUCCACGGUACAUUGGGCCUUUCGAGGUUUUGCAGAAGGUCGGAAAUGUGUCGUACAAGCUAGAUUUGCCUACUUCUAUGGAAAGAAUCCAUCCGGUCUUCCAUGUUUCGAUGUUAAGGAAGUUUGUGUCAGAUCCGGGUAAGGUUCUUAGUGAACCAGAUGUAGAGAUCCUAGGAGAUCUCACCUAUGUAGAGCAACCAGUGCGGAUCAUUGACACCCAGAUCAAAAAGCUAAGGAACAAGGAGAUCCCGAUGGUAAAAGUCCUCUGGAACCACCAUAACUUAGAAGAGUGCACCUGGGAGACACGGGAGUCUAUGCUCCACCAGUACCCCUAUCUCUUUUAAGGUUAGUUUUAGUUAGUUUUGAGUUCUUUAUGUGCUUUAUGUUUUGUUGUUUUGCAUGAGUUAGAGCAGGAACAUUCGGGGACGAAUGUUCUUAAGGGGGGGAGAAUGUAAUACCCGGCUAGACCCCGGUAUCAGAAUUCCUACGUUCCGGCGGAUUUUCCGUUGGAAUCCGGGAUUCGAGGAUGUCGGAGCCUGCCCUAAGGGUAUAAGAGAGGUUUUUAAAAUGUUUUUACAUGUUUGUUCAUGUUUUGAAUGGUUUUAAGUUGAGGAAAUUGAGUUUUGGAAAGGAAAAGACCAAGGGGACAAAAGCCAGGUUCGGCCGCCGAAGGUGAAGUUCAGCCGCCGAAAGUUGCAUGGUUUUGCAUGCACGUUAGGCCGCCGAAGGAGAGGCGGUUGGCCACUACAAAAGGGCCUUUGACCAAAAAUUUGGGUGUUGAACACCCUGUUUUUGAGCCAAAGGUAGGCUCAUGCUCUCCUUGGUAUGAUUUCUCAUGUUUUCCUCAAAUCUUGCAUGUUUUAACAUGUUUUUAGCUUUGUUUUAGAGUUUUGAGCAAAAGGAAGAAAGUUGAGCAACUUGGAGACUUUGAUUAGUUUUCCACCACAUCUCCAAGUUUGGACCAGCAAUCCUCUCGUUCUUCAAGAGGUAAGCAUGGAUCCUCACCUCCCCUUAUGUUUAAAGUAUGUUUUAAGAGGUUUUAGAAAGUUUUGAGGUAUAGUUGUUGGUGGAACUUUGAGUUGAGCAUAUGUUGAUCAUAUGCUAUUUGAUGUUGUUUAUGGGGUUUGAGUUAGUUUAUAGGCCCCUUUAUGCAUGAGAUAUGUUAUGUGUUAGUUGAGAAGUGUUGGUAUGCAUGUUAUGGGUGUUUUAUAGGUUUUUGGAGGCUAGAACCCUGAGUUGAGUUGGGAUUCUGCCUUUCUGGAGAAUCCAGGUUCGGCCGCCGAAGGAAGGUUCGGCCGCCGAACCCCUUGUGGAGGCAGUUUCGGCUGCCAAACCUCGCCCCCGAAAUAUUGGACUUUCGUCUCUGGAGGGGGGGUUCGGCCACCGAACAUGCCGCCGAAGGAGGGUGAGUUUCGUCUCUGGAGAAGGACUUUCGGCCGCCGAAAGUGCCUGAGUUUCGUCUCUGGAGCCGACUUUCGGCCGCCGAAGGUGCCGCCGAAAGUGCCCUGUCUAGCCUUCCUUUGCCCAUUUUUUCAUGCAUGCUUAUGAUGUUUUAGAGGGGUUUUGGGGAGAUAUUAAGAGUUAUGUUAAAGUAUGUUUGGUCCUCAUUUGAGUCCACCUGUGUAGGUGCGGACUCGAGAGACCAAGGAGGCCCACAGAGUUAGAGUUACAGAGACUGCUCAGCAGUUGACAGAGGUGAGUGGAACAGAACUAUGUUUUAAAGUUAAUGAAUGUUUUAGCAUGAUUUCAUGCAUCACUAAUGCCAUGCUAUGUAGGAUGUUUGCAUUGCAUUAGUAUUCACUAAGUUGAUGCAUUGCAUUAUUUGAUGUUGAUGUAGAUUGGACCGAGGCGACCCCAAUAGCCCUAUGGAAAGACCUGGCUGGGCCAGGCAUAGUGAAAGACCUGUGUGAGCUCCUUGAGGGGGGCCGGGCAUUAUACUUGGGUGAGUCCUGUGAGAGCCCUUUCAGGGUCGGGCACCAUGAGCUUAGGGAGUUUUGGUGGUCAUGUCCAAUCCUUGAUGUGAAAUGUUUGUGCUGUGAUGCAUUUCAUGAUAACAUGUUUUAAAUGUUUUGAUGGUUUCUGCUCACUGGGCUCUAGUAGCUCAUCCCUCUCCCUAACCCCAUGUUUCAGGGCCUCAGAGAAGAGAAAGAGAAAGAGAAAGCAAGGGUAAAAACAUAUGUAAUAGCAUAGAGUAGUGGACAUGAUGUACAGUACAGAGUUUAUGUAAUGUAUAGUAAUGAUGUAAUAAGUUAUGUUAUGUACUGAGUUAUAGAAUUGUGCUUGGCCCUAGUGUAUGUUUAUCCCUUUGUACAUGAUCAUUUCUUUUAUGUCAUGUUUUAUGAUGUUAUGAUGAUGAGAGCUAGGUUUGGUGCAUGGUAGUAUAACCCAUCUAUAGCAUAUGAUGAGGACUCUAGUGAGGGGUUUCUAUCUCUGUAGUUACUCUAUGGUACCACAGCAGGUAUCACUCUUUGAGUGCAUACAGACAGAGCAUGCAUAGUCCAAACUUAGUGUAUGAGAAAGAAAAGAAAGUAAAGACACAAAAGAAAAAGAAAAGAAAGAAAGAAAAAAAAAAGUUUACAGUUUUAUGCUUAAGUAUGAUCAUGUAUGGGAUUUAGCAGGUACACAGAGUUCAGUCUAGGCUGACUACGGGUCUAGGCGGCCUUAAGCCGAUCUGGAUCCUAGUGCCGGUGGCGGUCCGGUAAGUGGGCUGUUACAUCUCAAGUAUGGAGUCAUCCAAGUUGGGCUCUGUUCCAUCUGUAGUAUCGUGUUUGUCUUUUUGAAAGCAGGUGUAUGGACAUACUGUAUGUACACUUCAUCGGGAAGCUGUUCUAACUCCUCUUUGGUCAAUCGACUAAGCAGGUCUGCUUCCUCAUUUUCAUCUCGAGGUAUUCUCUGAAAUCUGAUGAUGGCUCCUCGACUUGUGAGCUCGGCUUCUAAGGUUUUUACUUUGUCAAGAUAAUUCUGCAUGAUGGGAUCUCUGGCCUGAUAUACUCCCGUCACCUUGUUGAUCACCAGUUGAGAGUCACUAUUGACCUCGAGGUCGGUUACCCCUACUUCCAAAGCUACCAACAUCCCAUUUACCAGGGCUUCAUAUUCGGCUACAUUAUUAGAAGCCUUGAAUUCUAAACGUAAGGCGUAACACACUUUAAAAUCCUCUGGCCCUUUAAGCAUUAUUCCAGCGCCACUGCCUUCAAUGCCUGAUGCUCCAUCUACAUACAGCUUCCAGUUAAAUUCUUGGGAAGGCUCUCCCUCUCCCCCUUUUCUUGAUAUUUCUGAGGAUGAUCCUUCCUUCUCCUCAUUGAAUGUGCACUCUGCUAUGAAGUCAGCCAGAGCUUGAGAUUUUAUAGUCGUUCGGGGUCGAUACUCUAAACAGUAAGGGCUGAUUUCUACGGACCAAGCCAACAUCCGCCCUGAAGUUUCCGGCCUGCGUAGAAUCUUCUUUAAGGGUUGGUCUGUCAUCACAACUCCUUGGUGGCCUUCCAAAUAAACUUUGAAUUUCCGGACUGCUAACAAUAGGGCAUAAGCCAAUUUUUCGAUAUUUGAAUAUCUGACCUCGGUAUCUCUAAGCACCUUGCUGACGUAGAAAACCGGUUUUUGCUCCCCUUCUUCCACCCUUACUAACACUGCGCUGACUGCCUGUUCUGAAGCCGCCAAGUAUAUCAGAAGUUCUUCUCCUUUUAUGGGACUGCUGAGCACAUGAGGCGAGCUGAGAUAUUUCUUAAGCUCUGUGAAGGCUUUUCGGCAGUCUUCUGUCCAUUCAAAGUUCGGUACCUUCCUCAACUUUUUGAAAAAUGGCAAGCACUUUUCUGCCGACCUCGACAUGAAUCGGUUGAGCGCCACUACUCUCCCAGUUAAUCUCUGGACGUCUCUUACACAGGUCGGCUCUGGCAUGUUCAAUAUGGCCUCCACCUUCUCCGGAUUGGGUUCCAUGCCUUUUCCGCUCACCAUGUACCCCAAGAACUUUCCUCCCCUAAUGAAGAAGGCACAUUUUGCUGGGUUUAACUUCAUUCUAUAUUGAUCUAAUACUCCGAAUACCUCCUUUAAAUCUGCUAUGUGUUGUUGGAAAGUUGAACUUUUGACCACCAUAUCAUCCACAUAUACUUCUACAUUUCUGCCGAUCUGGUUUUGAAAGAUUUUAUUCAUCAACCUUUGGUAGGUUGCCCCGGCAUUUCUCAAUCCGAAAGGCAUAGCUCUAUAACAGUAAGUUCCAUCUUCAGUUAUAAAUGAGGUCUUUUCUUCAUCCGACCUUUCCAUUGGGAUUUGAUGAUAGCCAGACAUAGCAUCCAAAGAAGACAUAUAAUCGAAACCGGCCGUUGAGUCGACCAUUUUAUUGAUAUCGGGGAGGGGGUAACAAUCUUUAGGGCAGGCCUUAUUUAGGUCAGUAAAAUCUAUGCACAUCCUAUAUUUGCCAUUGGCUUUUUUGACUAACACAGGAUUUGCCAACCACUGCGGGUACAUAACUUCCCUGAUAAAGCCUGCCUCCUCUAGCUUCUGUACUUCUUCCCGGGUGGCCUGCUGCUUUUCUCUUCCUACUACUCUCUUCUUCUGCUUUACUGGCCUGGCCUCGGGGAGGACAUUCAGUCUAUGUGUCAUCACCUCAGGGUCAAUUCCUGGCAUGUCUGAGGGCUUCCAUGCGAAGGUCGGCGCGUGACUUCGGAUCAGGGUCAUGACUUCGACUUUUUGUUCUUCAGUGAGGCCGGCAUUAAGACUGAAGACCUUAUUUGCCUCUGCUUCUGACAAAGGGAAGGUCUCCAAUUCUCCAACCGGCUCUGUCCGGGCUUCUUUUGUCUUAUCCCUGACCUCUAGAACUUCCGAGUCAAGCGCUUCUCUGGUUGAGCUUGGUUCUGUUACUGUGGCCAAGUAUACUGCUCUUGCUUCUUCCUGGCUACCCCGGACUAUUCCCACUCCUUCCUCUGUUGGGAACUUGAGUGCCAAAUACCUGAUGCUAGUGACAGCUUCGAAAUUGAAUAGUGCCGGCCUCCCCAGGAUCGCAUUAUAGCUCAAUGGGAGCUUGACCACCAAAAACACCUCAUGAUGGGUGCGAGCUCUGGGCGCUUCACCUAUGGUAAGGGCCAGCUUUACCUUUCCCUCUACAAGCACCGGUACUCCUCCGAUCCUUUUGAUUGGUGACUGGUCUCGAACCAGCUGUUCUUCUGGAAUUCCCAUCUGCUGGAAAACCCGAUAUGGCAGUAAGUUGACUUUACUCCCAUCAUCCACCAGAACUUUCUUCACCCUAUAAUUAUGAAUGACAGUCUCGAUGACGAGCGCAUCAUCAUGGGGCAUCUGAAUGCCCUGAGCAUCUUCUGGGGAGAAGGUGAUGGCCAUGGGAGAGUGUUCCACGAUCUGCAUGAUUUCACCACUGAUGGUCUUUCCUUCCCGAUUUCUCUUCUUUCCUCGGCGGCUCAUUCGUCCUCCUGUUCCUCCAACGAUCAUGUUGAUGGUCCCGCUGGAUCCAUCGUUCACUGAUCCAGCUCCUGUUCUCCUAGGCAUCUGAGCCGCCGGACUGGGUUGAAGCCUCUGUCCCUCCGGUUUUUUCACAAAAUUCUUGAGGUGCCCCCUUUUUAUUAGCCUCUCAAUCUCCGCGAUUAACUGGAAACAGUUAUUUGUAUCGUGGCCAUGCGUCCGAUGGUACUGACAAUAUUUGUCAGGGUUCCUUUGGUCUGCUUCUGACUUCAUGGGCUUGGGCCACUGGAGAAACUCCUUAUCCUGAACUGCCAUAAGUACUUCGGCUCUAAAGGCGUUGAGUGGGGUCGGCUUCUCAGGGACCCAAGGGGGGGGCGACCUUGGCUCAAGGACCCGUGGAGGGGGAGGCCUUUGAUCCCUUCGCUCCCAAGCCUGUUUGUACGGCUCGGGCCUCUUGCCGUGUUUCUUUUCAUGCUUCUCCGGCCUCCUUUCUUCUGAGGCUUUUUCUUUUCCUGUCAUCCUUUUGGCAAAUCGGCUUGUUACUAAGGCGUCAUCCUGCCUUAUAUAUUUCUCCGCUCUCUGCAUCAGCUCAGCCAGGGAGGUCGGAGGCUUCCUGCUCAAGGAACCGAAGAACUCGGCAGAGGUCGUCCCCUUUUGCAUUGCCUCUACCGCCCUUCCUUCAUCGAGAUCGGGAAUCUGCAUGGCCUCCGUAUUGAAGCGAGCGACAUACUCCCUGAGUGAUUCACCCUCUCUUUGCUUUAUUGUUUCCAAGUAGCUCGUCUUCCUCUCUGCUGGUACCCCGGCUAUGAAUCUACUGAUGAAGCGAAUGGCUAGGUCUCCGAAACUUCGGAUACUUCCGGCCUCAAGGCUGUUGAACCAUGCCCGCGCUGGUCCCGAGAGCGUCGUUGGAAAUACUUUACACAUUAAGGCAUCUGACAGAGUUUGCAGCUCCAUAAAGGUCUUAUAGUUCAUGACGUGCUCCCUCGGGUUACCAGUUCCGUCAUAAGCCGCCAUUGAUGGCAUCAUAAACUUCUUAGGGACAGUCUCUUGCUGCACCCACUUUGAGAAAGGGGAAGAAGUAGGCAAAGAGGUUUGGCUUUGGUCUUUCUUACCUAACUCGGCUAGGAGCUGUUCUCUCAAUUUUUUCAACUUUUGGUCCACCUUCUCGUCUUCUGGGCUGGGUUUUUUCUCCAGGUGGUAUUCUUCCUCCUCUGCUUCAGUUCCCGUCCACCCGGUUAUUUCGGCGGAAUAGUUAUCCACCUCCUCAUUUUCUAUCAUCUCUCUUGCCCUCCUCGCAUGGAUUCGGGCCUCCGGUCCUUCUUCUUCGCCGUCUUUUCUUCCUCUUUCUUCAGUAUCGCGGUUGCUGGUUUGAAGAUGGUCAGGUGCAGGUCGGGGGUCAUUGGUCUGAGGUUCCUCUACAAUCGGGAGUGUAUUUACUGGGGUGUUGAGGCCUCUUUGUUGCAUUAUCUGCCCCAACCAGUGGGCGGUAUUCUGUAGCUGGAAAGCCAUGUUUUGAAGGUCUUGGUUAGACAAGGUAACAGUGGGAGUAUUCCCUGCCAAACUUGGCGAGGGAUUAAGAGGAACAGGUGUUUGGUUGUUUAAUGUCGUAGGACUAGAAAAGGAGAAUUGUUGCCCCUCUUGGGCAGAGCUUAGGUCAUUUGGGACGUUAAGGUUACUUUCUUGGUGAUUAGCCAUCGUGGAUCUCAGUGGGUUUCUUUAAGAGUGAGAACUCCGGUGAUGAAAAGAUCUCCGUCGUGUCCCACAGACGGCGCCAAUUGAUGAUCUGAGAUCCAAUAGAAUAGGGUUUUACAAGGGUUUUUGUAUUAGAAAAUCAAAACUUAAACUUUCUAGGGAGGGAGCUCCCUUUUUAUCUCUUUCGUCUUGCUUGCUGGUGACGUAUCAUGGCCUCUCCAAGAUUGGGCCACACGUCUCUGCCAUACAGAUUUGGGCGUACGAGGGUAUCAGGCGCCUGCUCCAUGCGUAACGGCCUCUGAUUCUCCCCGUGCGUACACUCAGAGCGGAUCUGCCAGGUUGUCUAGAGAAUAUCCUUCUGAACCCUGGGUUGGGUCGAGAGUUGGGCCGGACACUGAGCCCGAUAGGAGGGGGUCCCCUGUGCACGGACUGGGCCGAUCUAAAUGAGGAAUCUCGGUCGAGUCCGGCUUUGAAGGUUGAGUGAGUCGGGCUUGUUUUGCGCAUCAGGUACGUGGCCUUUCGCUUCGUGGGCUUUUGACUGUGGCUAUGGCCCUGGACCGGGGUGAAGAAAUCCAUCGGUCAUCAGUUCUCAUUUAUUAUUUCCCAAUUAAAUAAAUUAUUCACUUAGAGUACUUUCGGCAAAUAUUUAUUAACUCAUUUACAUACUCCAGUUUUUUAAUCCGACACAAAUUGAAGGCUACUCACUUUUUCUGAAAUAAUAAUUUAUGAGUAAGGUUAUGAGCAUAAUUUGACAAUUAUUAAAUUAAAAAUUUAUUUAAAUUUAUGCAGUUACUAUAUAUAUACCUCAAUUAAUUAUAUAGAAAUCUCAAUAUAAAUAUUUAAUUUAACCAUUAUUGAUUUUAUUUUUAUAUGAAAUUGAGUUUGUAUUAGCUUCUUAAUGUGCUCGUAGUAUGUAUUGAAAAAUAAAAUUUAAUAGUUUUAAAAAAGAUUAUUAGAAAAAUAAAAUAAAAUUUAUCAAUUGAAAUAUAUUACCUAUAUUUUCUUAACUUAUAUGAAAAAAAUAUAAAACUAUUAUUGCAAGAAAAGAGGGUAUAAUAAAAAUCAAGUUUAUAUAUUAUAGAUAUUAAGUUUACUUUGAUAAUAUCUAUUAUUAAAAAAGAAACUAUACUUAUUAUAAUAUAUCAUACAUAAUAUAAAAUAUUUUGAAAUUAUUUUAUAGUGAAAUUUUUUUUUAAAUGGAAAUUGGGAAUCGAGGGAGUAGGAUCUAAAAUCUCUCAAAUUUAUUUAAAUACACUUAUCAUUAGGCUAAAUCUGAGUGCUUAUCGUGAAUCUUUAUAUAUUAUUUUAUAUGGAUAUAAAAAAAAUUAUUGAAUAUAAAUGUUAAAUAAUUUAAUUUUAGCAGCUAAUAUUAUGUGCUCUAAGAUAAAAUAAAAGGGUAUUUAAACUUAUUUUUUUGAAUUUUUUAGCUACGGCUUCUCACAUUACUCUUAGCAACUUCAAAUUUAAAUAUUAGAAGAUUUUUCAGUUAACUUUGCUUUGAUAAUCACAAUUAUUUAUUUAUAUCAUUGAAAUUUAAAAAAUAAUUUAAUUUUUAUAAUUGAUAAAAUAUUUUGUAUUAAUCAAUUCACUUAAAUGAAAUAAAAUUAACCUAAUACACCGCUAAAUAAUUUUAACAUUUACAGUACCAAAGGCUGAGCAAGAAAUCUUUUGAUGCAUUUGUUUCAAUGAUCAAUGCACUAUCACAGAUAAAAACGAGAUUCACAGUCCUUACAGGACAGAUUCUAAUCGAGUACUUCAAGGAACACUUGGUGGGUUUUGAAGAAGAAGCAGCAGCAGUAGCCGACAAAAGUAUCCAGUAACUGAUUCAUUGUCUGGUUCCAGACAGUUCAUGAGAAUGUCAAAACGAGUAGUUCUCAUCUCUCUCCACGAUCAUCAGCCGUCCUCUCUACUUGAUAUGUCACCUUCAUUCCCGUUUACCACAAUUUCUUUAAGCAAAUAUUCAACCAAGAACACCUCCCACGUCUCUCUAUUGCCAGGUGUUAUUCUCUUUCAUCUUCCUUCACCAAAUCUCUCACUUCUCUCAGCCUCUCCUCCUCCUGCCUGAAAUAAUUGACCAGUUUUGAUCCUAACUGUCUGCAUAAUUGAACUCAGUUUAAGUCCUUUUUUUUAUUCUUGCACUCAUUCUUUUGGUCAUGUGUCUUUUAGUUAAGUCCAAGGUACGUGUUUAAGCCUGCUGAUAUGGAAUUCUGAUUAAUAUUUUAGCUCCAUGAUUGAUUGCUUCAGCUUAAUUAGCCCUGUUGAUGAGUUGUACUUGGCCCCAUUACGGACUUGUCUGAAUUGGUUACAAAGAAUUAAGACAACUUCUUGUACUAAUAAUUGCCAAUAUUGAGAUUUAGAUAUUGUUGCAGAAGCUUGAGUCAAUGGUUUCUAGACAUUCUGAGUUCUUGUUGGGUAUAAAUACAUCUCAUUUGCCCUCUUGUCCUUUCAAGCGUCGAGUUUUUCGAGCUUCUUCUAACAGCUUAACAUCAAAUAAACACUCCCUAAUAGGCUAGCCAAGAACAGAAAUUAACAGGAACAUCAAUGGAGCCUAUUGGGGUUGCUCUGGAAGGAGAAUGGAGCUCUCUUAGUGGAAUGUACACAAGCGAGGAGGCUGAUUUCUUGGAACAAUUGCUUGGUAAUAAUGAUUCAAGUUCCAGCUUGGGAGUUCUAUCUUCUUUCUGGUCUAGCCAAAAAUCAGAAAUGAACAUGGCAGGAGGCAAUGGAGGUUUAGUUGAUACUAAUUUCUACAAUUUUUCACAAGGGAGUAGUAGUUAUAGUGGUGGAAGCAGUUCUCAGAGCUACUACUUCAGUGAUUCUCAUCCAGUCUCCAUCGCUAUGGAUUUUUGUGUUGGAGAUGUGACAAAUACUGCCUCGUAUCUCGUCGAAGGCGAUGACUGUUCGAAUCGAGAAAUGAGGAAUGGCAAUGUGGAAGAGUCUGGUGGAAACCAGCAGCCUGCAGCUGCUGAUCUACCUGUUAACUGUUUGCUGCCCAAGAAAGAACAUGAGAUGCUGGCUCCAGAAACAUCAACAGAAGAUAAAAGCAACAGCCCGUCUGAGAUCUCUAAGAAAAGGUCGCGAAGGGCAGGAGAUGUGAGUACAAGAAACAGAAUUUAGCAUUGUAUUUUUUAAUAGAAUGUGUAGGAAUUAGUUUCUAGAGCAUGUUCUAAUGGUGAUUUUUACAAUGUAGGUUCAAAAGAACAAGAGGAAUGUAAGGUCUAAGAAGAGCAAGAACUUUGUCUCUAGCAACAGCAAUGAUGAAGAGACUAAUGCAGGCUUUAAUGGGCCAGCCUCAAGCAGCUACUGCUCGGAGGAUGACUCGAAUGCAUCCCAUGAACAGAAUGGAGGAGCUAGUUCAAGUUUGAGCUCCAAAGGGACUUCAAUCCUCAACUCAAAUGGCAGAACAAGAGCCAGUAGAGGGGCAGCAACUGAUCCCCAGAGCCUCUAUGCAAGGGUAAGCUACCUCUCUUAGUCCUACAGCUCAUUGAUUCGAUAAUGGUAAUGAUUCAGUGAUCAUCUAGGCCAGUUAAUAUAACAGUAACUGAUGAAUCUUUGUUUCUUACAGAAAAGAAGAGAGAGAAUAAAUGAGAGGCUGAGAAUUCUACAGAACCUGGUGCCUAAUGGAACAAAGGUAAUUAAACCAUCAGCAAAUGUCAAUGGUUUUUGAAAUUCUUAACUUAGAAAAAUUUACAAGAUUGAAUCUUUAAAAUUGCAGGUUGAUAUUAGUACAAUGCUAGAAGAAGCAGUUCAUUAUGUGAAGUUCUUGCAGCUUCAAAUUAAGGUAAGAACAAAGAGGAUCUUUCUCUACAUGAACAUUGUCAUUUGUUGAAUAUUUCUGACACAAAAUUUUCAUUUUUGUUGUUUUUUUGAAUUCUGUAGCUGCUAAGCUCUGAUGAUCUGUGGAUGUAUGCCCCCAUUGCUUAUAAUGGAAUGGACAUUGGCUUGACUUGAAGCUCAGCACACCAAGAUGAUGGUUGAAAUUAAAAAGAGAGUGGUGAUUUGGGUUUUAUUAAAAAAUGUAAAAAAAAUAUUUCUGGAGAAGAAAGAGUAUAAAAAAAAAAUUAUAGGAAUGAGGGAGGAGAGAGAAAGUGACAUGUGGCGCUUGUAAAAUAGGAUAGACUUCUUUUUUAAAGAAAAAAUAAAUUUUAUUGGCAGUAUGUCGGGUGACAAGUUUCGUAGUUAUAAAAGAAAUUAAUAAAUUAAUAAAUUAUUAUCAUUUUCAUUAUUUUAAUUUAUUUUUAUUUAAAAUUUAAAUUUUACAUAAUAGUAAAAUAAAGUAAUAUGGGCUUUUUAAAAAAAUUAACAAAAUAAUAUAAUAAAUUAAUGCUUUAAGAUAUUAAAUUAAAUUAACUUUUUUAAAAGCAAUUAUUAAUUGAAAAAACAAAAAAAUUAUAAUUAAAAUAUUUAAGUUAAAAUAAAUUAUCAUGAAAAUUUAAGAGAAUUAAAUUAUUAUAUUAUUAAUUUUUUUUUUAAAAAAAAUUUAGUUCUUUUGAAUUCUUUUAACUGUUAUAACCGACUGCUGCAUGUUCCGUGAAAUAAACCAUUGGCAAAGCUAUACUUUCAACACAAUCGUUGAUCAUCCGUACAAGAUACACCCUCGGCCACAGAAAAACAAAAAAUUGGAUCAUUCUGUCCAGAAGCCGUUAAUGAAUUACAUAAUCACCAUAUAAAUUAAGUGGCUAAAUUUAGGGAUGAGAAUGAAAAUAAAAAAUAUUACAGCCACAUCCCUAUCAAUCUGCCUCAAAUCCAAUCUCUACUUCAACUGUUAUGCAUGUUACUGUUCCAGUAGACAGGACAUCUAAUCUGCACCUUUCUUUUAUUGUCUAUAUACGUUACAGAUAUAAAAUUCAGCCUCAACUUUUACUCCAAAAAGGAAAAGAGUAAGGUAUGAACCACAUGAAUCCUUAAAGAUCAUUAAUGGAGCUUGUCAUUUUCAGGCAUGUGCGUUGUUCACAUGACUUGGAACUUCUGCGUGACUGUCCAGUGGCAUGUAUUGAGCCAUGAUAGCUCUGAUUUCAGAAUCCAUGUAAGACUGCAAAACCAACAAAGAAUGUCAAGACUGGAACUUUUGUGUUACAAGAUACAGUAUAGAUAUUCCUUUUUUCGAUAAAACAGUACAGCCUGGUUGUGGUUUUCGAAUACGACUAAACCCAAAAACACAAGUUUCAGGCCAAGAAACCAUAUUGAUUGGAGUUGCUGUCACAGAUAUAGCUGAUCAUAUGCAGCUCCAACAACAGGCAUAACUAUUAUACUGCAUUCAUUAGGUCGACUUUUUUUUCUCCGAAACUAUAUUGGAAGUCUAUAGGUUAAUAAAUAAUAGUGUCCAACUUGGUCAGCAUUAAAAGUAAAUGCUACAAUACUACUAGUCCUAGUAAUGUGGCAACAUAGGUAGCUUCAAUAAAAAGGAAUCUUGGAAGGGAGAUCAGUAAUCAGGUGAGAGUAUCGUCAUCCAACCUUUUUUGCAUUAAGAGGCUGCACUUAGGCCUUCGCCUCACAACAUCCUGGUUGCAAAUUCAUGACUUGUCAUUGAUGAGUAACCAAUUGUCUUUUCUCCAGAUUUUUACCUCAGAUAUUUCACGGAUGACUGACAAUCAAUCCAGUUUCCAUAGGCCAAAUGGACCUACUUUUUCCUUAUGCUGCUUCUAAACAUAUCAUAGCACUAAACCUCAUGACUACAUUAUUAUAACUCGUAAGUAGCAAUCAUUAAGGUGAAAUUUAAAUUAUACCAUCAUUAAUUUAUAAGUCUUAAAAUAAUGUAUGUGCAGCUUAAGAGAGAGAAACACAACCAAAAAUAGAAAAAGAAAUGAAUAUUAAGGGAAAAAAAAAGCACUAUGCUUACCCUCAGUCUAUAUUUGUAGAUGAGGUAUCCUCCAGCAGUAGCCAUUCCCAAGCCUAUCAAAAUGACCCAGAAAGCAGCCCAUGCUGACCGUACUUCAGUGUGUAGCUUGCCUGACAUUAAACAAAGUGCUAAUAAGCACAGUAGUAUUUAUGUUUCUAGAAGGACUAGUUAGAGUUAUGGUCUGAACGCACUUAUGCAGGCAUCAUGGUCUCUAAUGUAAAGAAGAUCUCCACUGCAAGUGCAAUCGUAGCUACCCCAAGUAUUUUUGCAGCUGCAUUCACUGCACUGACAGGCUUUCUUCUCUUUGCAUUCAUCAAUAUCUGCAUAGUCAAUAAGAAGUGACAAUAAUAUUUUUAAUCAAGACAGUUGACAAUCUUGCUGUUUCUCUUUGAUAUGAUUGCAACUGCAAUUCAGGUGGACAAAAUUGUCUUGACAAAACACAAGCUCACUAUUCAAAGCAUUCUAAAACAAAUUGAUGCAAUUGGAGCAUCCUGAUUGUCCAAAAAUAUUUAGGUUUUUCAAAUUGAAACAAUGGCCUUGUACUGAAAAUUUUUGCUUUAUGGCUAUAAAAAUACUGCUGACUGGGCAAUUGGGGCUUUUUGCAAAAUUAGGGGUGGGAGAAAACUUAUUUGUGGAUUUAGGGUUGGAGAUAAAUUAUUUGCGGAUUUGGGGUUGGACUGCCACGUGGCAGUCAAAAAGAAAACUUGCCGCCUGUUUAACAGGCGCCAGGGCCUGGCGCCAUUUAAAAUGGCGCCAGGCAUUAUUUUUUUUUUUNNNNNNUCUUUUCUUUUUUUUAUUUUUUUUUAUAAAAUUAUAAAAUAAUAUUAUUAUAUAAUUAAAAAUUACUCAUAUUAUUUAACAAUAAUAUUAUAUAUUAUUUAAAAUAUUAUAAUUAUAUUAAUUAAUUAAUAUAUGAGUGUAUAAAUAUUUAAAAUUAUAAAAAUUAAAUUUAUUUUUAUUAGACUCGUACAGAAUAAUAUUAAUAUCCUAAUAUUUUAGAGAAUUAUGAAAUAUACCAUUCUAAGUGGCGCCAGGCCAUUAUUUAUUUUAUUUAUUUUUUAUUUAUUAAAAUAUUAUAAUUAUAUUAAUUAAUUAAUAUAUGAGUGUAUAAAUAUUUAAAAUUAUAAAAAUUAAAUUUAUUUUUAUUGAAUUGCUAUUAUCCAGUCGUAAAUAAUAAUAUUAAUGUCCUAAUAUUUUAGAGAGUUAUGAAAUAUAUUAUUAUAUAAUUUGAUAACUGCCGGAUUUUUCUCACUCUAAGGGAAAUUAAACCCGAAAAAGUGAAAUAGGUCUAAGGUCUCAGAAACCCACUUUAUUUAGCCGGUCCAGCAUAUUCGGUCCUGAUCCAGACACGGGACAGAUCGAGUUGCCUGCGAGUUUGGAUCCAGCACGAGGAGUCCAGCCUUGUGAUGUGACUUGAAGGACAGCAAACCCAGUCAAUUCGCAGCUCUGCUCGCAUGCGCGCUGAAGAAAUUAAAUAACCGUCUGACGUGAAAAGAGUCUUGACAUUUCCGUACUAACAAUCUAAGUAGUUUCGGUUGUAAUUAAAUAAUAUUAGAUAUUUUUAUAAUAAUAAUUUUUUUUAUAAUUUUAAUAUAUUAAUAUUGAAUAAAUUUUAUUAUUAAUUUUUAAAUAAAAAAUUACUGUAAUUUAUAAUUUCAUAAUUAUAAAAUUAAUAUUAUACUGCAAUUAGAUAUAUAAAAACAAUUCGAUUGUAAUUAGAUAUAUAAAAAUAAUUUAAUAAUGUUAUAUGUAUUUAUUUAAUGAUAAAAAUUUUUAUUAUUUUAAUAAAUUAAUACAAUAAUAUUAUUAUUAAAUAAUAUCAGUAAUUUUUUAAUUAUAUAAUAAUAUUAUUUUAUAAUUUUAUAAAAAAUAAAAAAAAAAUAAAAAAAAAUAAAGAAUGGCUNNNNNNNNNNNNNNNNNNUUACAAAAAAAAAAAUAAUGCCUGGCGCUAUUUAAAAUGGCGCCAGGCCCUGGCGCCGGUUAAACAAGCGGCAGGUUUUCUUUUCGGCUGCCACCUGGCAGUCCAACCCCAAAUCCGCAAAUAAUUUAUCUUCAACCCUAAAUCCACAAAUAAAUUUUCUCCCGCCCCUAAUUUUGCAAAAAGCCCGGGCAAUUGAACAACUAAAUGUCUCUAAAGUUACUGCGAGUGAACUGUACAUUUGGGCCGAGAAUCACUGAAGCUUACAGGAUCUUGUGCAAGUCAAAAAGGACCAGUUUGAAAUUCCAAGAACCCACUAAUGAAGUAUCAGAAGAGAAUUAAUUUAGGAACUACAACCAUUGUAGACUUAGGAAGUUUAGAGUUUUAUUAUUAUUAGAUUUACCAUUAUUUUCUUAAUUUAAAUUUGCUUAGGAUUUUUAAUUAGAAAGAUAAGGAUGCAUGGUUCUAAUGUAAUUAAGGUUACAAAACUCCACACACAGGACUAGAUUCUUUUAUUUAUUAGCUCUGAUUAUUAUGAUUAUUAUUGAUAACUAAAUAAACUUAUCGAGAAUUUUCUCUUCAUUUGUAAUCUUCUACUCUUAAUUUCUUACUGUUCUACUACAUUCCUCGUCCUAGGACCUAGGUGUAGUACCAUCCUAUUAACCAAAAACUACCAUAAGGGCAAAAACAUCCUCACUGGGAAGGGAAAUAACAUCAGGCAUAAAUUCCCGAAUAGUUGGAGGACAGAGAACUCUUAUUGCAUCCUCUUGAAGAAUAAAACAAUAAAACACACUCCUUUUGUAUGCCCAAAAUUUAUUCCGUCACAACAUAGAGCGACUUGUUUUGUCAAGACAUAUGACCCAGAGUCAAACACCAUACUCAUGUACCUUGAAUUAUUCGUUCAGAAUCCUAGUCAAAGUAAUUGCAUAAGGAGUAUGAAUGUUCAAUCUCUUACCUUCACAACUUUGCACACCAUCACCUUUAAACCCAGCAGGGCACUGGCAUUUACCACCAUCAUUAUCCUGUUUAUUAGGAUAGUCAGAAUCUGCAAAUGAAUUUAUGUACUGGAUAAUAAAAUUAGAAAAAGUAAUUGAACACUAACCGAACAAGCAGAGAAGGUGUGUCCAUUUUGAGAUUCAUGCCAACAGCCUCCAUUAUUUAUCUUGCACCUCCCUGGUCCACUCACUGUGAAAUGCAACAUAGUUUAUUUGGAUAUAACACUAAUAUAUGAUCGUCACUCACCUAUGAUUCACUUACUUUUUCUCUUUUUUUUUUAACUGCUUACGAACAUUACAAAGUUUUAUUAUACAUUUAGACAAUAGUACUCGGUGCUUAUUUGAAGCAAAAAAAAAAAGAAAAAGUCAUAGUAAAAUAUCUACAAGGGAAAAAGGAAAAUGAGCAACAUGAAUGAAUGAACGUGUCUCUAAAUUUCCAAUUGCCCACUUGAAAAUUAAAAUUUAGAACUAACAGAAAAGAGAACAUGAAAUUAGGAACAAAAAAAAAAUGAUUCUAAUGACUAAACAAGGUCGAGAAGUUUUGUCCAUUCACAUUUAGUUUCACUAGGAUUUAACAGCCCCACUGACAACCCAAAAAAUUCAAUAGUAUAUGUGCAUCUUCAAUUGGAAAGAUCCUAUAAACAUGCAUCAUAAAUCUGCACUAAUAAAAACAAGAAGCAUUAAGAUAACCUUCACAAUGGCUGUAACCAUCUCCUCUGAAAUGAACACCAUCAACCAAGGGGCAUUCACAUACUCUCCCACGAAAUGUAUCCUGAACAAAUAAACACCACUGUCAAUUAGAUAGUAUAGACAAACACAGAACCCAAUAUCCAGAAAAAAGCACAGAGAUAACUAUGGUAGCAAGUUUUUAUACUCACCUUGCAAGCUGUAAUGUUGGCUGUUUUAUCUUGCCAACAACCCCCAUUAUUGUUCAAGCACUCAUUUGUCUCAACAUCUGCUCAGAUUCACAAUAAAGAAUAGCAAGUCACAUAAGAAAAUAAUAAUAAUAAUAAUAAAGAAUAGCAAGUCACAUAAGACUGCGACUACCCAACAUUAGUUGCAUAAAAGCACUGUGCUAGAGUUGUGACUAUACGUCAUCACCCGACCAUACCUUUUUACACUUAGAGCAUGUUCAGCAUUGCUGUUGCUAAUAGCAAAUUUUACCAAAAUAUUUGAAGGGAUUCUCUUUGAUAAAUGGACAAUAAAUUUCAAAGUGAUUUUCAUAUGCCAAAAGCUGAUUUUUAAAGAAAGAUUGUAUUUGAAACUUUUGCAAAUAGCUAUUGGAUUGCAUCAAUAAACUUCCGCAUAUAGCUGUUCAUUCUCUGAUUCAAAUACUUGUUGUGCAUAUUCGGUAGCUAUUUUAAAUAGAAAAGCCAAACAAGCCCCCCCUAUUGAGCACUCUCAAGACUGAACCUCCUCUAUAUGAGCUAAUAAGUUUUCACAAAAAUGAGUCUUAUAAUUGCACCAUAGUGAUGUUAAUUUUCACCAAACAGCAUAAGAAAACUUACCACCGCUCAAACAAAUAGCAGGCUCAGUGGUUUCUUCAAAACCAGCACAUAUAGCUUUUAGAACAGCACCUUUCCCCAACCUUCCUGCAAGCACAUGUAUUUGGUAAUUGGAUAAUAAUUAUUAUUAUUAUUAUCAUUAUUAUUAUUAUUUUCAUUUAAGAAACAUAGGCACACAGUAACAGACCUCUAUAUUGUCGAUUGUUGACAACAAGAGUGGGCAAUAUGGUUACAUCACCCCUUGAUCCUUUCCCAACCUAUAUAAAGAUCCUUGUCAAGCAGCUAUGCAUGGUUGAAAUUAAUAUCUGAAGGUCCAAAAUUAUGCAGAGUGGCAACAAGAGUACAAACAUAUUGAAGACAAAAGUAUUGAAACUUGUAAAGCAAAAGUAUAUAAACUAGACAAUUACCUGGGCAUCUUGCUCUUCUCUCAAAACAGGAUUAUCAGAAUCAGCACUUGGAUCUCCCAUACACUUAUCAACUUUUUUAACAUCAAGCCCUAUGCACAUAUUAGAUCAAUUAAAAGAAAUCAACAAUUAUGGGCACUAUUUCAUUUCAAAGAUACAAUGAAGAUAAUUUACCAAGGGUUCUGAUGACACCAUCAGCACAUUUCUUGUUGUACUUCUUCUCCUUCAUAGGACAUCUGAUUUGAAAAUCUGUCACAUAGUCCCACCAAAUCCAAGGUCUUCUGCUCUCAUUUGCAACUCUAAAAACACAGAGUUGCCUUAGAUUUUCAAGAACAACAUCUUUCCCCUCAUAACCUGUGCUGAAAUCCUGUUCAGGAUCAGGAGCACAAUAUCUUCCAUGAUUUAUGCACUGGGACUUGCACUGUCUGCUCAAGGUAAAUGCCUGGGGACAGUACCAAGUUAUAUAAUGAGGUGUGAACUGGGUGUAACCACCUUUCUCAAGUAUCUGGGCUGGACCCCUAAAAUCCUUCAGGAAUUGUAUCAACAUAUCACAUUUUACCCCACAUUCAUCAUUGCUGUUGGUCCAUAGCUCAUACUCUACACGAUCAUCAGGGUGUGGAACAGAUUCUCUCCAAUCAAGAUUCACGUUUACCAUAUCACCGCUGGUUAUUGCUUUCUUUAAUGUUUCACCAAAGGUUUUCUCAACAAGUGCAGAUGGUAUUGUUAUGUUCUCAAUAUAUUUUGCAGAUGAGCCAUUCUCUUCAGGUGAAUCCAUUGUUAUCAAUGGCUCCUCAAUGUCAUCUGCAACAAGGGCUGCAGAAGCCCCAGCCUUCUGGGCAUUCCAAACUUUCAAAGCAAAGAAGCAGUCUGAAAAGCACCAAAAUCACUCAUUAGUAAAUUAGCAGAAUGUCUGCACUUUAAAACUCAGUAGGAACUUCAUUUUGUAAGGAUUCACGCGAGUAAAAAUCCACUCAAUCCAGCUCUGUUCGCCACAAGUGUGUGUCUGUGUGUGUGCAGAAUCUCUUUGCUCAUUCUGAAACAAUAAUCUGUGUAGAAGUAGAUUCACAACUCAUAUUUGUAGGAAUUAUAACAUUGACAUGUACAGAAGCAAAUAACCUACUACAGAAAGGUUCAGGCUCCCAAUUCCCAAAUAUAAUCUCUCACGGUCUCUAGACACUAGUCAAACCAAACUUUAAAAUAAUGGGAGUCAAGCAAGGAACUUGAGUUAGAUAGUGACAACUCAUUCACCUAUGAUUUCAUUCUUCACUCAAAAGACUACUUAUCAUAGUUCAGCACAUCGCUUAUUUUGACAUAGGUAGAUACCACAAACUGCAAUAGAGAAUGACAAUUCUAUUACAGCAAUUCAACAUAAAGCACUGAAAUAAGAGGAUCACCAUCACGCAUAAAUGAAAGCUAAGAAUAGAAAAUCUUUAAAUGCUUGAAGAGAAAAUUAGCUUUUACCCUAGUGGACAACCAAACAUGAAUCUUUCUCGGAAUUGUAUAGCUUGUUCAAGAGAGCCACAAAUAUCCUAUAUUGCCUACCUCAACCAAGUAAAAUGAGAUGCAGCACAUUUAUCAACUUGAUGAAAAAGCUCAAACAGGUGGUUGCAAAUUGCAUUCAAGAACAAAAAAAAAUCUCAAUUAUACCAAUCAAAUGCAUUUAUCUCAUGCAAGCCACAAAAAUGGAAAUUAGAACAACCAUUACAAUAAUACACAUGAAUUCAUAUUUUACUCAUAUGCUAAAGCAACAGUAUCCAGGACAAUCAAAUUUAAGAUCAAAUCACAUUACUGGUAAUGCUUAAUCGACCAAAUGAAAACUACUAUAAUCUCCCACCUCAAACAAUGGAUUUUAACACUAGUGGGAAAAUUGACCAUAAGAACAGUUUAAAAGAAAAACCUUAAAAAUAUUAGCAUAGGAAGCAAAUAAAAAGGAAAAAGAAUCAGAAGGAUAUAAUCAUAUAACUAAAUAAUUAAUCAUCAAUUGACUACUGUGUCAAGACAUCAAGUCAACUGCACCAACUUUCAAAUGAGGAAAUUCCAAUCAACCUAAAAAGUUUUAUUCCACAAAAUAAAUUCCUCAUAGAUCAAAAGUCAAAACUAUAAAGAAGCUGAACCUUGACCAACAGCACAGGAAAUCAAUCUAAAGAUUUAAAGUCAAUAGAUAACCACCAAUAUCAUAAACAAUGACAAAGAAAAUACAAGAUGCAGACAAAUAAUUUAAUUUAGUUAACAAGCAUCUAAGACCUCAAAACCCUUAUCAUCUAUCAAUCCAAAAAGAUCAUCAACUUUAAAUAUUAGUCUUAUAAGGGUGGCAUUAACUAUAAAUUAGAAGACGAACCCAUAUUAUGAAUCAGAUUGAACAAAACAAUAAUAAAAGUACCAUCUGAUCAGCGGAAAGAGAAAAAACAGAGGAAAUUACUUCAAUUUAACCACCCCCCAAAAAAACCAAAAAAAAAUAAUUCUUCAUCAAGCUCAUCAACAAUGCCCCAUGACUAUUUUCUCACUCACCCAAAAAAAAAAAAUAAUAAUAAUAACAACAAUGAUAUACUUUAAAUCUCGCCAAAAAUUAUAUAUCAAAUAAACCGAGCUAAAUAUACGUGCUCAACCAAUAAGUAUAAAUAUAAACAAAAACUCAGGAUCAAAACUCCAAAUACACAAACACACACAAUUGAGUCACGCCUACAGAUCACUAAAACGGGAUUAAAAACAAGCAAAUUCAUUCAAAUUUGCAAAACGAAAUCCAGCAAAUAACAAAAUCAAACCACAUACCCCGUAAGAACUCAUUUAAAAGAAUCGAAUUGGUCAUUUUUUUAAUUAAAAAAAAUUAUUGAGUCAAAUGUACAAAAACAAUCAAAUUAACAAAGGGAGUACCUCCACGAUCGAGCAAGACGAAAAUCGGUAAAGCUCCAGGCUUAGACUUGAAAGAAAUCCCAAAAUAAUCAAACUCCUUACAACCCUUUCUGUUUUCUUUAGGGUAAAUCACAACCCCUGCCAUUCUACCCCCAUAUUGCGGUAUCCCAAAAUUCCCUAUUGCACUAUCAUAUGUCCCCUUAAUUGUGUCCGGCGAUGUCACCCUCAAGUUGUUGCUUUCCACCACAAAUCUCGCUAGAGAAUUAGGAAUCAUCAAAUACACAAAUAAAAGACCUAGACAGAGUCUAAAACCUGGUCUUCUUCUGAGCUCCAUCUCGUCCCAAAACAAUUUCUCAAAAGAACGAUAAAAAUUUUCUGGGUUUUGCUUUUUCAGAUCAAUCGAUUGAGCUAAACAAAUAAAAAUGAUUUUCUGGAAGCAUACAACAAAAUUUACAAAAAAAAAUAAAAUCAAGAGGUCAUUUCUGUUGUUAGCUUAUGUUUAGGUGUUUUGGGGAACAGAAUCCAAGAAAUGGGGUAGUUUUCUUGUUGAUUGGAAGAAAUCUUGCAUGCCAGAUUUAUCGUGGAAUAUGGGUAAAUGAGUAUUGGUUCUGUUUCUUCGUUUUGAGCUGCGUGAAGCAUGCUCGUCAGUCUUCUCCCUGUUUUUGUUCUUGCUUUCGCUAUUUCAGUUCCACAGAGACACAAGGCAAUGCAUAUAAAGAGCAAAAAUAAAUUAAUAAUAAUAAAUAAUCACUCCAAAAAAAAAAAAUCAUGAAAUGACCAUAUUGUCCCAUUAUUACAACACACUUCCAAAUUUAGAUAAAUUAAAAACAAUAUUAUCUUCUUUUAAGCAANNNNNNAAAAAAAAAAAAAAAAAAAAGAAAAAUCUAUAUCACAUUAAUUGAAUUAACAAAAGGAAGAAUUCCUUUAAAAAAAAUUUUCCUUUGUAUAAUCAAAAUUCUUUUUUUGAAAAGACACAGUAAAUAUUAACAAUUUUAAUAAUAUUAUAAAAAUAUUAAUUUUUAAUUUUAAUAAAAGCUAAUGAAAAAAAAUUAUUAUUUAAUAUUUUUCAUCCACAAAAAUACACUUAUUUCUAUUUUUCACCUAGAUUAUGAAAAGUUAGUUAAUAUUAUCAAAGUAAUGAAUUUUGUUUAAAUUUUUUAAUAUACUCUCUGUCCAUAUUAUUGUACAAAAUUAAAAAUUUAAGUAAUUUAUAUUAUUAAAUUAUUUUUAAAAUAAAAAUAUUAUUUUAUGUAUAUUAAAUAAAAUAUGUUAAAAAUUAAUAAAUAAAUUAUUAUUACUAUUAUAAAAAAAUGAAUAUAAUUUAAAAUCAAUUUGCGAAUGAAUAAAAAAUAAAAAAAUAUAUAUAUAAAAAUAUAUAUAUAAUUGAUGUGGUUAAUAUUAGUGAUGACGCAUUUGGAAUGUGACUAUACUAUGAUGGAUCGAUUAGAACUUGUGAGAAAGAAAAUAUGAGUCGAUGGUGUGUUUAUGACAAUUAUUUCGACGCUCAAAUAAAAAUAGAAAAAAUAUAAUAAAUUAUUUAGACUUUUAGUAUUAAAAAAUAUUAUAUUUUUAUUUAUGUGAUUUAUAUUUUUUUAUAUCGUAAGAGAAAAAGAUAAAUAUGAUUUUUUUUUUUUUGAUAAUUUAGUGAUGAUAUGAUCGUUUGUUUGAUAUAGGAUAUCAUCAGAUGAAAAUUUUAUGAUCAUAAGUGUAAUAAAAAUAUAUAAAAUUAUGCCAGAUAACAAUAAUUUUACUUGGAAAGUUGUUUUGUUAAGAGAGAGAGCAAAUUUUUGAAAAUGAUCCAUAAGUAAUCCUAACCUGUAGUGACACUUAUGAAAUAUCAAUAAUUAUAACACUAAGAAAAUUAAAAAAAAAAUUGAAUAUAAAAUGUAUUCAAAAAAUAAUGUGUAAAUUACUAAAAUACAUAAAGCUAAUCCCAAAAUGUUAUAUUUAUUGAAUUUGAAUAUCAUAUGGUGGAUCCAAUGGACGAGUAAGAUUUGAUAUUUCGUGUGUAUGUAAGACAGUGUUAUAUGAAAUUAAAACCUAAAAAGAAUAAUAUUUUUCUUAAUGAAGAAGGCUAGUGGCAAAAUGGUAAUUAAGGGGAGUAGAAAAUUUCAGUUAUGUACCCAAAGUACUUGGUAGUACCCCCAAAAUAGUCAACACCGGUUGUCCUUUGACAGCCACUUGGCUUUCAAACCUCCACUAUCAUCGAAGAAAUUAUUUAUUUAUUUAUUUUUUAUUUUUUUAAAAACAAAUUAUAAAUCAAACAAAAUCACGUGCGAAUUGCUUCAAUAAAUUUUACUAAUUUUAUAUUCACUCCGUCGAAUAAUUUAUUCAUUUUAAUUUUUUACAGAUAUUUAAAAAGUAAUUUUUUUAUUAAUUUUUUAAUUAUAUCUAUUUUAAAAUAUUAAAUUUUAUUAAAUGAUAAUAAUAAAUAUUUUCAUAAUUAUAAUAAAUUGUUUUAGAGAUAAAAUAAAUAGUUUAUUUAUAAAUUUGUAUAUUUAAUUUAUAAGCAUAUUUAUUAUAAAAAUAAUUAAAAAAAGUGUAAGUUAUAUUUUUAUUACAUUGUAAUUUUAAAUUUUUAAUAAAAAUAACACAAUAAUUUAAUUGGUCAAAUAAAAUAUUUAUAUAAGCAUUAAAAUAAAAAAUUAAGAGACCAACUUAUUUCUAUAUUUAUAAAUUUGUUAUACUGUUAUCAACAAAGAGAUUAUUUGACUAGUUUAUAAGUUAAGCUCAAUAUUAAUAUAUCUAACUUAAAAUCUAAAAUAUAAAUUAAAAAAUUAAAAUAAAAUCAAAAAUAAAAUAAUUAUACAAAGAGUUUGAUGGCUCUAACCGGAAAGUAAAACUAUGUUAAUGAAUAAACAAUUAGAUUAAUUUAUUGUCUCAUUCAAAAUAAUAUUGGAAUCAAUCUCAAUGUACACAUCCCUCCUAUUAUAAUUUCAAUGCUUUCUCUUAGCCUGAGCAGGGAUGGACCCAUGUUGGGGUCAAGGAGGCCAUGAGUUCCCUGAAAUUUUGAAAUUUUUUUAGAAAUAUUAAGUAUAAUUUCACAUUAAUAUUCUAAAAACUUAAAAUUUUUUUUCUUUAUUUUUUUCUCAUUUUCACGGCAGCCCUCAAUUUCUCAUUUUCUUUCAUCUCAAUUUUUAUCCAAUAAAUUUCAUUUUAAUUUAUAAAUUUUAUUUUUUCAAAUCCACUAUCCAUUAUCCAUCUUCCUCUCUUAUUGACAGUGAGUUAUUUUCUUAUUUUAUUUUUUUACAUUAUUUUUUGUUGUUAAGAAUUAAUUUAUAUUUUUUAUUUAUUUCAUUAUAUUAUUAAUUUAUUAUUAUUUAUUUCACUUAAUUAUUAAUACUAUUAUUAUGGAUAGUAAUUUAGUCUAUAUAAAAUUUAAAAAAUUGUGUAAAUUUUAAAUAUUAUUUUUAUAGAUAAUAAUUUAAUCUAAUCAAAAUUAGUAAAAUAGUAUAAAUUUUAAAUAAUAUUUUUAUGGGUAAUAAUUUAAUCUAAUCAAAAUUAAAAUUUUUUUAUAAAUAUUAAAUAUUAUUUUUAUGGAUAAUAAUUUAGUAUAAUAAAAAUUAAAAAAAUUAUGUAAAUAUUAAAUAUAGUUUUUAUGGAUAAUAGUUUAUGUCUAAUUAAAAUUGGAAAAAUUAAAUGAAUUUUAAAUUAUUUUUAAUGGGUAAUAGUUUAAAUUUUGGUCAAAUAUGAUUUGAUGGGUGAAUUAAUAAAAUAUUAUUUUAAAAAAAUAAUUUUUAACAAUAUGUUGAAUUAAAUUAUUAAUGUAUUUAAAUUGUGUGUAUUAUUAUAGGGAUAAAAUAAUUUUUUAAAAGAAUAUCAACAAAUGCAUCGUUAUCAUCAUCGGUGAAUCAAUCUAUUCAAUUAACUUCACCUAAGUAAGUAACUGUUGAGAAUUGUGAAGUUGAUAUUGAAAACAUUUCAUCUGAUCAAGGAUUUCGACCUAACAUAAUGAGGUAUUCUCCUGAUGUUAGAAAUCAGGUACGCAGAACUUACAUACUAAAAAGUCUGUGUUAACUAUGCAGUCAUAAAUUUCCUGAAAGAGUAAAUGGAAAUCAAAAUAGAAGAUUUAUUGUGUAUUAGUUUGAUGAAUUUGGGAAUUGGUUAGAAUAUAGUAUAACUAAAAAUGUUGCAUAUUAUUUAGCUAUUUUACUCUGUCAUGAUAUGCUGAUAUGCAGCUUCAAGAACUUAAUAAUCGUUUUGAUAAAGUGAAUAUAAAUUUGCUUUUAUGUAUGGCAUGUCUUGAUCUUAAAAACUCAUUCUCUACCUUUGAUAUGAGCAAAUUGAUUGAACUUGCAAAAUUUUAUCAAUGUGAAUUUUCUACGGUUACUCUACUUGGACUUUAAUCUCAAAUUGAGAAUUUUAUCUUUAAUAUGCAUAUGGACAAUAAGUUUUUUGAUGUGAAAGGAAUUAAAGUUCUUGCUAAAAAUAUGGUAAACUACAAGAAAGCAUAUCAUAAUUCCUUUAAUGUAUACAUUGGUUAAAUUAGUAUUAUUCUUACCGUCAGUUAAAUGGACAUUUUAUGCAAUGCAUAUUAUCAAAAAUUGACUCCGCAAUAAAAUGGAAAAUGAUUUAUUAAACGAUUAUUUGGUAACUUAUAUCGAAAGAGAUGUAUUUAUAAAUAUUGAUAAUGAAGAUAUUAUGAAUAGAUUUAUUUACUUAUCAACUUUUUAUAAUGUAUUUUUUUAAUGUAUAUUAUUUUUUAAUUAUUUAUUUAAUUUGGAUUCCUCACCAAAAUUUCUAGAUCCAUCCCUACUACUUAUAAGCAAACUCAGAAAAAUUCUCUAUUGAAAUGUGAAAAUAAAAAAAUAAAAGAAUUUGCAGCUCAAAUUAAGUACUCAAAGAUGGCAUUUUAAUAAAAUUUUCAUUAAACAUAAUUAAUGCAAUAAGUUAUUUACCCUUUAUCUUUUUUAACUUUUUUAUUUAUAAGUCAAUAGAGACAUAUGAGUUAUUAUAGCAAUUACUGCUCUUAUUUGUUAUGAUAUUAUAUGUUUAUUUAUGUAGUUUUUUUUUAUUUUAAAAGAAAAAUAUAUUAGUUAUUGGUAAAUUUAAGUGACUUUCGGUCAAAAUUAAAUUAAUUUAAAAUUAAAUUAAAUUCAUUAUUUUAUUUUUAAAUUAAAAUAAUAUUUUUUUGUUUAAAUUUCAAAAAAACUAUCUUUAAAUCUAAUUAAAAUAUAAAUUAAAUCAAUUUUUAGAAUAAAAAAUUAUGUAAUUUAAUUUCAAUAUUAAUAAAUUAAAAUUGAUACGUAGCUAUUCUAAGUGAAUGUCAUUAUCUUGCAGAAAAAUUAUUGUGAAAUUCCUGAAUUUUAGCAAAAUUAAUUAGUCAGUCUUUAUAAUUCUUCAGACUAAUUAAAAUAUUUUUUAUUAUUUUAAAAUAUAACUAUUUGGUAUUUUUAUUGAAAAUAAUUGAGAGAUUCUAUCGAUUAUUGAGUAAAAAGUCAUAAUACCCUUCUUAAUUGAGAAACUUAACUCACUUAAUAAAUUUCUAAGUAAAAAGCCAUAAUACCCUUCUUAAUUGAGAAAUUUAACUCACUCAAUAAAUUUCUAACCCACAUUUGUCUGUGAAACCAUUCUAUCAUUGUCACUUGCAUACUCAUCUUCAAUAUUCUCACCACCAAUAUAUUGAAUGAAAGGAUGAGAGCUUUGACUCUUUCCUAAACUUUGUUGUAUGCAACGCAGGAAAUUAAAUCCUCCUUCAUGCUUUUCUUUUUUUUGUUGAUUUUGAUUUGAUUCCAUUAAAAGACUCAAAGAAGUUGCGGAGAGUUAACAUUGCUUCGGCUAAAGAAUUCUCAAUUGGUGCUAGCAUUAAAUGAGAUCUUUCUCUGUUUUUAGUUCUGGUUAGCAGAUUAUCCUCUUCAAGGUUGUCUCUUGUGCUUAGUUAAUCUCUUUUAUGACUUUUUUUGUCGAGAAAGGAGAUUGAAGAUCGUAAAAAAAUAGAGAACAAAAUUAGUUAUCUAAACAAAUAUGAUACUGAAAUUAAAUAACAUAAGGGAAACAUUAGAUAGUUAAAAAAUAUAGCUCAUGGAAACUAACAAUAUAAAUUUAAAAACUAACAAUUUUAUUUAGAAAUUGUGGCAUGACAUAUUUCACUACAGAAAUAAUGACUCGACGCCUUUUAAAUAGACAUUAUAAAGAAACUAGUAAAAUAUCAAUAAUAUAAGUAAGAAAAUAUUAUCAUUACACUAAACAUGCCUCGGCUAAACAAUAGACAAAGAAAUAGACCUAAAAUAUCUAAAUAAAAAUUAGCUAACAAAGAUCAAAUCAAACUAAUGUUAGACAUGUGCUAAUUUUGAAUGAAUCUUCAACACACCCCCUUGAUUCAAAAUUGUACACUCCAAGCUGAUUUCUGCUUCUUGAAUAUUACACCUUUCAAACCAUGAAAUAGGAUUAAAGAUAUUAUAAUAAUCUACUCUUUAUUGUCGUGAAUAAUCCUUCACCACGAGUUGAGCUUUCCAUUUUUGAAUGCUACCAUCUGGUUAAAACUUUAUUCAAAAGACCUAUUUAACUCCAAUGGCUUUCUUUUCUUUAAAAAGAUACACCAAUUCCCAAAUUUUAUUCCUUUGAAUUGCUAUAAUUUUAUCUUUCAUAACAUUGCGCUGCUUUUCUUUCUCCACUGCUUCUUCACAAGUUAUUGGAUCAACUACAAACUAUACAUGUAAAGUCUCAUAUAUUUCAGCUAUUGAUUUGAAUUUUUUUGGAAGAGUUUCAUAUUCAUAUGAAGAUGAGCUUUCUGAAAUUGGAGAAAUAGCUUGUUAUAUUUGAAAAGGUGGAGUAGCUUGUUGUAUUUCAACAGGUAGAGAAGUAGCUUGCCGUAUUUCAACUAGACUUUCAAUCUGUACAUUGUCUGAAUUUUUUUGCCAAGGUCAAUUUGCCUCUUCAUUAAAAAUACAUUCAAAUGUUUAUAACUUAAAUGCCACAAUAUGGACUCACAAUUUUUUUUGAGAACAAAAGCAUGAUUUUCAUCACUAAAGACUUCAAGAGAAAACAACUUAUUUUUUUGACAUAGAGACAUUGAUAAUAAUCUCAUAUGACUUUUUAUCCCUAAUCACACAUUAUUCAUUAUCAAAUAAUAUAAAAUAUCUACUACCCAUGAGUUUCCUAAUACUAAACAAAUUUUGUAUUAAACUUAGAAUAAAACAGACAUUGUAUAAAAGCUUCACAAUAUCAUGACUAUUUUUAAUUGUUCCGGUGCCUUUGCUUUCAACUUACAUCUUGUCAUUACUCUUAUCGUUACCUUGUAUGACUCAUCAAGCUCCUUAAAUAACGACUUUAUGUCAAUCGUGUGAUUAAAGUAUCCACUAUCUAAAAACUAGAUAUCACCUGAGUUAUUUUGAUGUCUUGAUAAGCCAUGAAUAACUUUACCUUCUCUUCCUUUUCUACAUAAUUAGCUUGUUGUUUUCAUUUUCAGCAAUAUGCUUUUACAUGCCCAUAUUUUAUUUUUAUAAUAAUAGCAUUGAAUAAUGCUCCUAUUAGUUUCUUGUUUCUUUACUUUUUUACUCGUGAUGCUUAUUUCUUUGUCCAUUACCUCUACCAUAGUCACCUUUGCCAUGGCCUCUUCUACCUCGGUAUCCUCCUUUUCCACAUCCUUUACCAUGAAAGGUAGAUCUUUAUUCUUUUUAUUUGAUCUGUACAAUUUCACUUCAGGAGAUUACAAGGAUCCCAUUAAUUCAUCAAAUGAGUAUGUAACCAAGUUUUUAGACUCUUCAAUGACUGCUACAACAUAAUCAUACUUUGAAGUUAAGCUCCUCAACACUUUUGCAAUAACACUUUGAUCCAAAAUUUCUUCUCUACAGAAUCUCAUUUGAUUAACAAUUACAACUACUCUUAAAAGAAAAUAUUACAUUGUCUCUCUCACUCUUCAUUUGUAAGGUUUCAAAAUCACAACAAAUUAAAGGACUAAAGUUUAAUCGUGAUUACCUUAGAAGAGUCUUGGUACUGUCUGUAAGGUCAUCCAAGCAUGUUUAGCAGUGGUUGAUAUUGCAAUUUUUGAAAAAAUUACUCCUGCACAACUUGUUGAAUAAAGAAUAAUGCUUUGGAAUCCUUCUUAAUUUCUUUCAACCUAACCUCUUCAUCUGAUUCAAGAUAUCAUUUCUCAACCAAAUCUCACAAAUCUUGAGACUUAAACAGAGUUCUCAUCUUGACACUCCAUAAUUUAUAGUUUUCAGCUUUAAAAAACAGGAAUUAAUGGUUGGGAAAUACUCAUAACAUUAUCAUUUGAUGUCAUGAGUUUAUACCCAAUGUUUUGAACGAAUUAGGCUCUAAUAACACUAUUGUUGGGGAAAGGGGAUCGAGGAUUAUAGAAAAUAGAAGAUAAAAUUAGUUAUCUAAAUAAAAUGAUACUAAAAUUAGAUAACGUAAGGAAACAAACUAGAUAGCUGAAAAGUAUAGCUCACGAAAACUAGUAAUAUGGAUUUAAAAACUAAUGAUUUUAUUCAGAAAAUUACAAUAUGUCGUACUUCACUAUAAACUUAAUGACUCAAUGCCUUUUAAAUAGGCAUUACAAAAAAAAAAAGUUAAAUAUCAAUAAUAAAAAUGAAAAGAUAAGGAAAGAGAGCAUAUAUUUUUAGCAGAAGGACAUGCACGGUUUGUGGUACUACAUCUUGCUACAUCUCUUCAAGCAUUACGAUGGACAUUUAGCCCAUUUCAUUCCAAGUUUUUAAUUAAUUAAUUUUUUUAUUUUCUAUAUCUAUUUAAUUAUUCUAUGAUAAUUUUGAAAUCUAGAAAAAGAAUAAGAGAUUGAUUUGUAUUAUUGUGUGAAGAUUGUGAAAAGAAAAGUAGAUUUUGAAUACUUAGUAAUACUGAAGAGAGUUAGUGCCCAAUAAGUAUUGACAAAAUGUUUAAAAGGGUAUUUUGUGUUUCAUUGAGGGAUAUGAUAGGUUAUUUUUAGAAUUUAUAAUUACCAUCUCUCCUUCGAAUGAUCGAUUUCCCUUGACUAACGAAAUACAUAACAGAAGGACUAACUAAUUAUAUUUUAAAAUAAUGGAGGACAUUUUAAUUGGUUUUAAUAAUUAUAAGGACUUAUUAGUUAAUUUUACUGAAAUAUAAAGAUUCUAUAAUAAUUUUCCCUUAUAUUAUAUUUUUAGGUUACAUUAUUUCUAACACAUAUUUUGAUGUUAUUACCAAUAUUUACUUCAAUCAUAUACUGAAUCAACUAUACAAUUAAUUGUAAUGAUUUAAAUAAUUAGAAGUUUACUUGUUUUAAGAAAAAAAAUAUAUAUGUUUACACUCCUAAAAUUUAUCAAAAAAAUCUCACAACAUCCUAAAAUUUAAAACAUCCCAUUACACAAUUAAACUAUUUAAAAUGAAAUUAAGAUGGCAUCGGAAUCUCAAUUAAUAGGUAAUACAAAUAUUUUAAUAGUAUUUUUAGACUAAUAUGAAUUCAAAGAGAAUAGUUUUUUAGCAUAAAAAAUAUAGAAUGUGUUAAGUUAAAAUUUAUACUUUGUGUAUAAUUAUUAUUAUUACGUUAUUCACUAUAACUAAUUUGAGUUUUAUGAAUAUAUCUCAAUAUGUUUGUAAUUCAUACGACUUUAUAUUAAGAUUUUAAAGUCAUUUUAAUUAUACUUUUCAAUAAUUCAAGUAUAUAAUAGGGUGUUUUAAAAUUUAGAGUGCCAAAAUAGUCUUUUUUUUUUUUUUAAUUAAAAAUACCAAAAUAGCCUUUUUCUUUUUAAAUAAAAUUUAGGAUUUUAAAUACAUAUUUAAUAAAAAAAAAAAAACUUAAAAAAAAAAAAACUAAUUUUUUUAAAAAAAAAAAAAAUAAUAAAAAUAAAAAAAAAAAUAAAAAAAAAAUCCGUUUAACUUAGCCAAAUAAAAAACUAAUAAUUUAGUCAAAUUGAAAAAAAAAAACAAAUUAUGCUUUUCACAUAAUACUCUUAAAAAAAAAAAACUCUCUCUCACUCUCUUAACAAAUAAUACUCAAUUUAAAAAAAAAACUCUCUCACAUAAUACUCAAAUUGACAUGUCAAGAGAAAUUUUUUUUUUCUAAUUUAAUUAUUAUACGCCAAUUGGACAACUGAUUUCUUAUAAAAAAAGCUGUGUGGACUACUAUAUAUGAUGUAGUAUAAUCUUUCUAAUUUCAAAUUCAAUUUUAGAUGCAAUUCCUUCACCUUUUAAUGAAUUAGAUUAAUGCCUUAAAAUUGAAAGUUUUAGAUUAGAUCACGAAAGAGUUUAAAAAAUUUGAAUUUUACCAUCAUUAGAUCUUUUAAUUAUUACUACACUACAAUAAGCAUUAAAAUUAGUAGUAAAAAAUUUUAUAUCAAAAUUAUUUGUAACAACAUUAAUUUUGCUGUUAAUUCUAAUGUUUGUUAUGGUGCUAGUAUUUUGAAUGUGCAUUACACGUAAUCUAUAUUCAUUACAUAUAGUUAUAAUUUAUUUUUUUUUUAUAUAUUUUUAUUAUAAUAAUAAUAAUUAUUAUUAUUAUCCUUACAAAAUUAACACAUAUAUUAAUUUAAAUACUACAUGCAUACGACAUUACCCUCAAUUUGGCGACCUAUUGAAAGGGGUUUGUGUUAAGGAGUUUGUCUAUUAAUAGACAUAUUUUUUUAAUUCUUUCAUCAAGUUGAAUUGGAUCGUGUGAUUAAGAGUGGACGAUAGACUUUUGAUCAACAUAUUUUGCUUCUUAAGGAACUACAACCUAAUGAUCAGUCUAAUCUGUUAGAUCUGAGAUUGAAUUUUGAAUAUAUGUCUAUGAUUUGCCCAUUGAAUUUAUGACAGAGAAAAUGGGUGUUGUUAUAAAACUAGCUUGAUAGCUUGUUUAAAUAAGUACUAGCUUGAUAGCUUAUUUAAAUAAGUUGUGAGAAUGGAAAAAUUAUAAGAUUUUUUAAGUGUUUAUAUUGUGGAAAAUUUUAACUUAAACAUUAAGUAUUUUGAAGGGACAUUUUGGAAGGAUUUUAAAAUUGAUAAAUUAUAUUAUAAAUUAAAGACUUGGCACUUGGACACGUAACAUGUGGUUAAUUGAGACAAAAAUAUCAAAUUCAUAUUCUUCCUUAAACUUAACACAGAAUUGUUGUAUGUGAUUUUCUUAAUUUUGUUGUAUUUAAAGGAGUAUUGCCACAAUUCUACAACAAAUAUAGUGAAGGCAAUUAACUCUUGAAAGAAAGUAUGUCUUAAAGCCGAUUUAUACACCCACCGAUCUAAUAGGUGUUGCCAUUGGAAAUUAUGUUGGCUCGUUUAUUGAAUUGGAUGCUAACAAUUUUACAGUAGGUUUUUGUGCCUAUACGCAUAUCAGAAUAAAAUUGGACAUGCGUAAGCCACUUCAACAGCGAAUGAAGGUGCACAGGCUAGGGAAUGAUAGUUUUUGGGUGACUUUUAAGUAUGAAAAACUGCCUCAAUUUUGCUUUUAUUAUGACAUUCUUGGUCACUCUUAUCGCUUCUGCAUUUCUUUGUUUAACACAUAAGGUUGGUCGACAAAACUUUCCUUUUGGUGCUUGAUUGUGUGCUUCGACUAGGCAAUAGUAAGGUAUUGGUGACCGCUGGUUACGUACAUAUAUUAGGGCCUCAAAUUUUCCAUUGCACCCAACUUCACUUUGAAUACUGAUAGUGGACGCCGAAGCUGUUAUACUGAUAACAACCCACAUCAUACAAUUGCUACAUCUAAGGGUCAUGCAAGUACAUCCCUUCCUAGAUCUGUUAGUUACGUCAUCUUUAGUUUUGCAUGAUCCUUCCACUCUUGAAUAUGCAUUUGGUAUCUGAAUAUGAAGAUUGUUAGAAUUGAGAGUUUUUUUAAUGAAGGUUCCAGAAUAUUUAGUAAAUUAAUUAAGUAUAGAUGUAGUUAAUUCUAGAGAACCUUAGUUGUGUCUUAUCAAGCCACUCUUUUGUUGACAAGUGUAAAAACUAUAAUUUUGCCACUUAGAAUUUUCUGGAACCCUUGUAAUAUCUCUGUAAAUGUAUAUGUAAAGCAAAAAGAUGUUCUGAUGAUGAUGUAUGUAAGUGUGCUUUGAAAUAUAAGAGAAAAGAGUUUUCUUCCAGCAGCUGUGAGUCUAUUUUCUUUCAUGUCUAUGUUGUCUUCCUUUCUACUUCUUUAAUGUCAGUUUAUGUUUGAUCUGUUUAACUCCAAUAACAGUAUCAGAGCCCUUCUUCCUACGGGUCAUGUAUUUUCUGUUUGAGUUAUUAAGUCUUCCUCUGUUUUCUUUUUAAUUUCGGUGGUCUCUCAAAAUGUCAGCAAGCAUUUCCUCCAUUUCAGCUCCUAUUUUUACAGGAGAAAAUUUUGAUUUCUAGGCUAUCAAAAUGACAGCAUUCUUGAAGGCUCAUGAUCUAUGGGAGGUUGUUUCUACAGGUAGAGAACCUGCUCCAUUGCCCGCAGAUCCUACAUUAGCGCAAAUCAAGUAUCAUAAUGAUGAGAGUUCCAAAAAAUUUAAAGCCUUGACAUUCAUCCAUCAAUCUGUUUCAGAUGCAAUUUUUCCAAGAAUUUUGGGAGCUCAAAUAAGCAAGGAGGCAUGGGACAAUCGAGAGAUGAGUUCCAAGGAAGUGAAAGAGUUAGAUCAGUCGAACUUCUAACUCUAAAGAGAGAAUUUGAGAUGUUGAGGAUGAAGGAAGGAGAAACCAUAAAGCACUAUUCCUCAAAGCUAAUAGAGUUGGUGAAUCAAAUGAGACUUUAUGGUGCUCAAUUUCCUGAUAGCCAGGUUGUUGAGAAGAUUCUGAUUAGUCUUCUGAAGAAAUUUGAGUAAAAAAUUUCUGCAAUUGAGGAAUCAUGUAAUCUCAAGACUCUUAUAGUUACUGAACUCAUUAGCAAGCUUCAAGCUUAGGAACAGAGAUGCUCCAUGAGGAAUCAAGAAAUCAGUGAAUCUGCAUUUCAAGUGAAGCAAAAGGGGAAACCAACUCCAAGCAAAAAUGGGAAGAAAUUCAAGAGCAAAUCAGUUGAGAAUUCAAGAGAAGAUGCAAGAAAAGGCUAGUUCCCUCCAUGUAGCAUCUGCAAAAGGACAAAUCACUUGGGGAAAGAUUGUUGGCAUAAAGGUAAACCGGUGUUACAAUGUUGGUAUUGUAAAAAGCAUGGCCAUAUUGAAAAAUUCUGCAAAGCAAAGCAAAAAAAGGAAUAGCAGGAGAAGCAGCAAUCAACCCAACAUGCUAACUCUGUUGAAAAUCAACAACAAGAAGCUGAAGAGCAUUUGUUUAUGGCCUCUCAUCAUUCUUCUUCCUUUUUAAACAGCUCUUGCACAUGGUUUAUUGACAGUGGUUGCACUGUACACAUGGCCAAAGAUGCUGAUUUGUUCUCUUCUCUAGAUUCAUCUAUCAAAACAAAAGUUAAGUUGGCAAAUGGCCAACUAGUGCAAGCUGAAGGCAAGGGGACUGUAUCAAUAUACUCCAAGUCAGGUACAAAGUUUAUUUCUGAUGUGUUACUUGUUCCUGGCUUGAAUCAGAACUUGUUGAGUGUUGCCCAAUUAUUGAGAAAAAAUUAUUCUAUCUUUUUCAAAGAUGAAUCUUGCAUUAUCUAUGAUUCUACUGGUGCUGAGAUUACUAAAGUCACCAUGAUUGAUAAUUGCUUUCCAUUUGAUAUAACUAAUGCAUCUCAUCAUGUAUAUAAUGCUGCUGAUGUUGAUGUGAAGUUAUGGCAUAAGAUAUUUGGCCACUUUAAUUUAAAUGCCUUAAAAUCUCUCUUCAAUUGAUUUAGUCAAAGACAUGCUUGAGAUCCAUCUAAAUGAUGAUGUGUGCCAAGCUUGCCAACUUGGAAAGAUGCAUAGAUAAUCUUUUCCUGUAAAUCAAGCUGUUAAAGCUGAAAAAAAGCCGGAGCUUGUCCACACUGAUGUUUGUGGCCCUAUGUCAGUUCCCUCAAUGAGUGGGAACAAGUAUUUUAUUUUAUUUAUUGAUGAUUUUUCGAGGAUGACAUGGGUCUAUUUUCUAGGUGCCAAAUCUCAAGCAUUUUCUGUAUUCAAGAAAUUUAAAACUCUAACAGAAAACCAAUGUGACAUGAAAAUUAAGACCUUGAGGUCAGAUAAUGGCAUGGAGUAUAAUUCUUCAAAGUUUGAGAAGUUCUGUGAAUCAGCUAGUAUUCAAUAUCAAUUGACUGUGAGCUAUACACCUCAACAAAAUGGUGUCUCUAAGAGGAGAAACAGAACUAUUGUUGAAAUGGCAAUGUGUAUGUUGGUUGAGAAGAACUUACCAAAGCACUUAUGGGCAGAAGUAGUAUAGCUGUUUAUCUCUUAAACAGGCUUCCCACUAAGUCUAUUAAAGGAAUGACUCCAUAUGAAGCUUGGUUUGGUUGGAAACCAUCUGUUAAACACCUCAAAGUAUUUGGCUCUCCUUGUUAUGUUCAUGUUCCUGAUGUAAAGAGAUCUAAGCUAGAUGAUAAAGCUACAGUGGGAAUUUUCCUUGGAUAUGCUACAAAUUCCAAGGGUUAUAGAAUUCUUGAACCAAAAUCUAAUAAGAUAAUGGUUGCAAGGGAUGUGGUGGUGAAUGAGCAAGCUUUUUGGAAUUGGAAUAAGAAAGAGGUUGAGAUGCCUUCAAAUGAUUCUAUUGCAAGAAGAUCGCAAGAAGAUGCAAUUUCAAAAUUGCUUGCUUCCUAUGAUGAUGGAAGUGAUUCUGAACUUGGUUCUCCUAAUGUAAAAACCAAGUCAAUUGCUGAAAUUUAUGAAAAAUGUAAUAUGGUGAAUAUGGAGCCAUCUAAUUAUCAAGAGGCAAGCAAGUUUUCUGAAUGGCAACAAGCUAUGAAAGAUGAAAUGGCUAUGAUUGAGAAAAAUAAAAUGUGGGAACUCAUUGCCAAACCAAAGGAAAAGCAUGUCAUUGGAGUAAAGUGGGUAUUUAGAACUGUAAUACCCGGCUAGACUCCGGUAUCAGAAUUCCUACCGUCCGGUGGAAUCUCGGAUGUCGGAAGCCUCUAGUAGGGUAGAAACAUGUUUUCAUAAAAUGUUUUAAGGUAUUUCAUGGUUUUAAGUAUGAAAAUUUAAUGAGUUUUGCAUGAAAAGUCUUUGGAGGAAAACCUAGGUUCGGCCGCCGAAAGUCAAGUUCGGCCGCCGAACAUGCAUGUGUUUUGGAGGCACGUUAGGCCCCCGAAAGCAUGAGUGAGGGAAGUCCAGGUUCGACUGCCGAAAGUCAAGUUCGGCCGCCGAACAUGGCAUGCAUGCGAAGGCACUUUCGGCCCCCGAACGUGGCCUGGCCAGCCACCUAUAAAAGGGUCCCUUAGGUCCGCACGGGCGAGCUUUUUCUCCCCCGUCGUCGGCCAAGGUGAGUCUCCGCCACCCCUCCCUCGAUCUUGAGUGUUUUUUCCUUAGAUCUUCCAUGAUUUUCACGGGUUUUAAUUUCUGUUUUGAAGAUCUGUGAGUAAAGAGCAAGUUUCGGGUACUUGGAGGUUUAAAGAGCUCAAUCUCUCCAUCUCCAAGCUAGGAUCGCCUUUCCUCUCGUUUCUUCAAGAGGUAAGCUCGGAUCCACCCUUGUUUUGUGUUUUAAACAAGCAUUAAGUUGUUUUAUGGGUAGAGAUGCAUGUUUAGGCUUGCUGAUGAGUUUAUGGGUUUUGAUGUUUUGAUGAACAAUGUAUGUUGAUUUUUGUGUGUUUGAAGUGUUGUAGUUGGGGUAUAUGCUAGUUUGAGACCCCUAGGUGUAAUGUAUGAUAUGUAUGCAUGUUUUAGAACAAGUUUAUGCAUGAUUGGUGAGUUUGGAGGCAAAAAUGCAUAAGGGAGCCAAGUUUCUGCCCUUUGGCAGAAACCAGGUUCGGCAGCCGAAGGCACUUUCGGCCGCCGAACAUGGCUGGGGAGGCAGGCCUUUCGGCUGCCGAAGUUGCCCCCAAAAAGAGACUUUCGUCUCUGUCUGGGACUUUCGGCCGCCGAAGGUGCCGCCGAACAUGCAUGAGUUUCGCCUCUGUCUGGGAGUUUCGGCCACCGAAGGUGCCGCCGAACCUGCCUGACUUUCGGCUCUGGAGGGACUUUCGGCCGCCGAACCUGCCGCCGAAAGUGCCCUGUCCAGCCAUUUCUUGCAUGUUUUUAUGUAGUUGUUUUAUGAUGUUUUAGGGGGUUUUUGGGGAGUAUAUUAGAGUUAUGUUUAUGUAUGUUUGGUCCCUCAUUGGAGUCCACCUGUGUAGGUUCGGACCCGAGGAACCGAGGAC
Molecule: long non-coding RNA, 42629 nt
Filed under: Manihot esculenta (cassava)
Lineage: Eukaryota; Viridiplantae; Streptophyta; Magnoliopsida; Malpighiales; Euphorbiaceae
Description: long non-coding RNA (MESC_LNC003898)
Source: RNAcentral